RNAcentral lists this ribosomal RNA (131 nucleotides) under uncultured bacterium. RNAcentral's name for it is "partial 16S ribosomal RNA". It matches the Rfam family "Bacterial small subunit ribosomal RNA", at positions 383 to 529 of the family's 1533-position model. The record is from RNAcentral.
CUGAUGCAGCCAUGCCGCGUGAGUGAUGAAGGUCUUCGGAUUGUAAAAUUCUUUCCCGGGGACGAUAAUGACCGGGCCCGUUGAAUAAGCCCCUGAUAGUUUCGUGCCAACAGCCGCCGGCUUACUACGUG